Molecule: ribosomal RNA, 869 nt
Filed under: uncultured Planctomycetota bacterium
Lineage: Bacteria; Pseudomonadati; Planctomycetota
Description: bacterial SSU rRNA
Rfam family: Bacterial small subunit ribosomal RNA
Source: RNAcentral
GCUGGAAUUCGCCCUUGGAUUAGGCAUGCAAGUCGAACGAGAAAGGUCCCUUCGGGGGCUUAUUAAAGUGGCGAAAGGGUGAGUAAUGCACAGACAACCUACCCCUGAGAUAGGGAUAACUCCGCGAAAGUGGAGCUAAUACCUAAUAAGACCACGGAUCGUAUGGUCAGUGGUUAAAGAUAGCUUCGGCCUUCACUCGGGGAGGGGUCUGUGUCCUAUUAGCUUGUUGGUAGGGUAACGGCCUACCAAGGCUUUGAUGGGUAGCCGACCUGAGAGGGUGACCGGCCACACUGGGACUGAGACACUGCCCAGACUCCUACGGGAGGCUGCAGUCGAGAAUAUUCCGCAAUGUGCGCAAGCGUGACGGAGCGACGCCGCGUGGGGGAUGAAGGCCUUCGGGUUGUAAACCCCUGUCACCUGGGAAGAAAGGUAGGUAGUUAAUAGCUGUCCUGCUUGACGUUACCAGGGGAGGAAGCACCGGCUAAAUACGUGCCAGCAGCCGCGGUAAUACGUAUGGUGCAAACGUUGUUCGGAAUCACUGGGCUUAAAGAGCACGUAGGCGGUUAAGAAAGUCUAGCGUGAAAUCCCUCGGCUUAACCGAGGAACUGCGCUAGAUACUGCUUGACUCGAGUGCGGGAGGGGAGAGUGGAAUUCCUGGUGGAGCGGUGAAAUGCGUAGAUAUCAGGAGGAACGCCGAUGGCGAAAGCGACUCUCUGGCCUGCCACUGACGCUGAGGUGCGAAAGCUAGGGGAGCGAACGGGAUUAGAUACCCCGGUAGUCCUAGCCCUAAACGAUGGGCACUAAGUAGAGGGAAGGGCGAAUUCUGCAGAUAUCCAUCACACUGGCGGCCGCUCGAGCAUGCAUCUAGA